Non-coding RNA from Oncorhynchus mykiss (rainbow trout), 400 nucleotides. The record is from RefSeq and is a predicted model, not a curated record. Lineage: Eukaryota; Metazoa; Chordata; Actinopteri; Salmoniformes; Salmonidae.
GCUAACAGGGGAGGUUGUGUGAGUUGUCCUAGCUAACAGGGGUGAUUGUGUGAGUUGUCCUAGCUAACAGGGGAGGUUGUGUGAGUUGUCCUAGCUAACAGAGGAGGUUGUGUGAGAUGUGUGAGUUGUGCGAGCUAACAGGGGAGGUUGUGUGAGUUGUGCUAGCUAACAGGGGUGGUUGUGUGAGUUGUCCUAGCUAACAGGGGAGGUUGUGUGAGAUGUGUGAGUUGUGCGAGCUAACAGGGGAGGUUGUGUGAGUUGUGCUAGCUAACAGGGGUGGUUGUGUAAGUUGUGCUAGCAAACAGGGGAGGUUGUGUAAGUUGUGCUAGCUAACAGGGGAGGUUGUGUGAGUUGUCCUAGCUAACAGGGGUGGUUGUGUAAGUUGUGCUAGCUAACAGGG